This is a long non-coding RNA of Coregonus clupeaformis (lake whitefish), 673 nucleotides long. RefSeq lists it as uncharacterized. The transcript has 3 exons. The record is from RefSeq and is a predicted model, not a curated record. Lineage: Eukaryota; Metazoa; Chordata; Actinopteri; Salmoniformes; Salmonidae.
UUGAAAUCAUUGGUUGCUGUUUGACAUACACUUUAAAGUGAACAAAUCUGAGAUCAACAUCACUGUGUUAUCGUGGAAUUACCCUACAGCUCAGCUCAAUCCCACAUCUUGUUUUCACCUAUUUGGGUAAAUGAUUAACCAUAGUUGCCUCUUUUGAUACAGCCACAGUAGUCUUAAAAUCGACUGUUGCCUUGAAUGAAACAUAAACAUUUAAACUCCAAGUAAACUCUCUGUGACAUUUGCUGACAUCUUAUUUUCCUCUCUCUCAAUCCAGUUGUUCUCAGGAGACAGGUCAGUGUGUGUAGAGAGAACACAUUUGACCAGGUGGAGUCAGGCUUCUACUUCACCGCGCUGGACCACUACACCAACGAGGCAGAGGACCUCAAGUUUGGACCACUCUAUAGAUUAUGCUGAUGCCCCACUGUAAAAACCUGGAGAUCUUCACUGGUUCUGUGGGAGGUGACGUGGCUACAAACAGUGCCUGGGACACCUUCCUGCGCUAUCGCUGUCAAGAGAACAGCCAGAGAGGCUGGUCAAGACAUCUGCCGCAACUACAUCUUUAGUGUCAGCUCUGCUGCACCUGGGAGCUAAAGAUGGCUCUGGCUUGCUGAUAACAUCGAUCUGAUGAGACUCCCUAUGCGAUUUGACUCCUGUAUUACUGACUGUAUUCAAU